Molecule: ribosomal RNA, 497 nt
Filed under: uncultured bacterium
Lineage: Bacteria
Description: partial 16S ribosomal RNA
Rfam family: Bacterial small subunit ribosomal RNA
Source: RNAcentral
GAUGAACGCUGGCGGCGUGCCUAAUACAUGCAAGUCGAGCGAACAGACGAGGAGCUUGCUCCUCUGACGUUAGCGGCGGACGGGUGAGUAACACGUGGAUAACCUACCUAUAAGACUGGGAUAACUUCGGGAAACCGGAGCUAAUACCGGAUAAUAUAUUGAACCGCAUGGUUCAAUAGUGAAAGACGGUUUUGCUGUCACUUAUAGAUGGAUCCGCGCCGCAUUAGCUAGUUGGUAAGGUAACGGCUUACCAAGGCAACGAUGCGUAGCCGACCUGAGAGGGUGAUAGGCCACACGGGAACUGAGACACGGUCCAGACUCCUACGGGAGGCAGCAGUAGGGAAUCUGACGCAAUGGGCGAAAGCCUGACGGAGCAACGCCGCGUGAGUGAUGAAGGUCUUCGGAUCGUAAAACUCUGUUAUGAGGGAAGAACAAAUGUGUAAGUAACUAUGCACGGCUUGACGGUACCUAAUCAGAAAGCCACGGCUAACUACGUG